GACGAACGCUGGCGGCGUGCUUAACACAUGCAAGUCGAACGGAAAGGCCCUGCUUUUGUGCGGUGCUCGAGUGGCGAACGGGUGAGUAACACGUGAGUAACCUGCCCUUGACUUUGGGAUAACUUCAGGAAACUGGGGCUACUACCGGAUAGGAGCUCCUGCUGCAUGGUGGGGGUUGGAAAGUUUCGGCGGUUGUGGAUGGACGCGCGGCUUAUCAGCUUGUUGGUGGGGUAGUGGCUUACCAAGGCAUUGACGGGUAGCCGGCCGUCGAGGGUGACCGGCGUCAAGAGGACUGAGAGAGGCACCAGUCUGCUACGGGAGGCAGUAGUCGGGAAUAUGGCACAAUGGGCGGACGUCUGAUACAGCAACGCCGCGUGCGGGAUGACGGCCUUCGGGUUGUAAACCGCUUUCGCCUGUGACGAAGCGGGAGUGACGGUAAUGGGUAAAGAAGCACCGGCUAACUACGUG
Molecule: ribosomal RNA, 468 nt
Filed under: uncultured bacterium
Lineage: Bacteria
Description: partial 16S ribosomal RNA
Rfam family: Bacterial small subunit ribosomal RNA
Source: RNAcentral